AGGCCAGGCCAGAAGGACCAGGGACUACAAACUCACCUUCAGGGCUCCUAAGCUGCUGCGGAGCUAGACGGCGGGCUGUGGGUGGGGAGGAGACUAGAAUAUUCUGAGACGGGGUCAGGUGGGAGUUGGGAGAGGUAACUUGGAGUUGCUGCCCAAGAUGCAGCUCAGCUCCAGUGGCCACACCAAGACGGUUUAAGACAGAGCGGAACCAGGGAGGUUGUUUUUGGUGGCUGGGGGCUUGGGUUUGAGUUCCUUGAACAGCAGAAGGUGCUUGGAUUUAGGGAGGCUCUAAUUGCCUGGACGAAGAACCCCGAGCUGUCUGGCCGGCCUUUCACAGUAUCCGACCGGGGCGUCCUGGACCGCCGCCAGCUCUAUCUGACCACCUCGGCGCGGGACUUUCGGUUCUAUCCCAAGACGGAGCUGUCCGGAUACCCCCGCAAGGACUCCCUGACCUACUGGAGCUUCGAAGAGACGCCCCAGGUCUGGAGCCACGGCCCGCAGCGGCCGCCCUGUCCGCGCUCCUCCCGGCCGCCCCGACCACCGCGGGUCCGCGUGCCGCGCGUCAGCCCGGUGACCUCGGCCAUGCCGCACCGGGGAGCCCUGUCUCUGGCUCAGGAGUCCUACAGCCCCCUGCUGCACCCGCUCCGGCGGCUCGACCGCUUCUGCCCGCUGGAGGCGCCCUGGGGCGGCCCGCACUGGAAGCCCCUGCGGGGCAUCUACAGCGUGCCGAAAGCCUACAGUACCGAGAACUCCAGCUAUGGCAGCUUGAAGCCGGCGCUGGUGUGAGCCGUCAGGGCCAGCCCCACCCCAGACCCGCCCCCAGGGCCGCGCUGCCGAGCGGAGCUCGGGACCUCCGCUCACUAGGAAGGGUUCCGGACCCAGCCUGAGUCGCACUCAUUACGUCUAUUGGCAACGUGGGGGCGGGACUAGCCCAGACACCCACUCAGCUGCGGCAUCACGGAGAGGGGACUAAGUCCAGAUAAUGUCCUUGCAGGCUGUGGCCCCGGGGGCAAGACACGCACCCUGCGGGCGUAUUAAAUAAUGAGUUAAAUCACCUGAACCACACCCACUUCCGGGGACGCUCCGGGCAUCCUGGCUUGAGGGUAGGGUGGGCGGAGGUCCCUAAGGGAGAGGUGGGGCUCGGGCUUAAUCCCUCCUUGGGGGCAUCUGGGUCAAGUGGCUUCCCUGGCAGCACAGUCACGGGGAGACCCUCUCUCACUGGGCAGAAGCUAAGUCCGAAGCAGCGCCCCUCCUGUUAGGUUGGACUGUGGUGCAGGAAAGCCUCAAGUGGAGGGUUGAGGCUUCAGUCCAGCACCUUUCUCGGGUCAUGGCCUCCUCCUGGCUCCCAAGACCCCACAAUUGGCAGAGGCAGGCCUUCCUACACCCUACUCCCUGUGCCUCCAGGCUCGACUAGUCCCUAGCACUCGACAACUGGGUCUCUGAGGUCACUUCACCGUGGUCUCUGCCUCACCUCUGGCGCUAGACCACUGAGGGGAGAGGGCUGGGGCGCUCUGCUGAGCCACUCCUGCGCCUCCCUGGCCAUGUGCACCUCUCGCCCCCGGGGGGAUUAGUGUCCAGGUUACCCCAGCAUCCUAUCACCUCCUGGUGGCCUUGCCGCCCCCACAACCCCGAGGUAUAUAGCCAGAUACACGAGGCAGGGGAUGCACCAAGGAUGGAGAUGCUCCAGGUAAGACUACAGGGCCCCUGGGCACCUUCCACCUCCUUCCAGGCCAUCACUGGCAUGAGAAGGGGCAGACCCGUGUGAGCUGUGGAAGGAGGCCUCUUUCUGGAGGGGCAUGACCCCCAGUAAGCUUCAGGUGGGGCAGUUCCUGAGGGUGGGGAUCUGAAAUGUUGGGGCAUCUCAGGUCCUCUGGGCUGUGGGGUGGGCUCUGAAAGGCAGGUGUCCGGGUGGUGGGUCCUGAAUAGGAGAUGCCGGGAAGGGUCUCUGGGUCUUUGUGGGUGGUGUACCACGCGGGAUGGGAAGGCCAGGACUCGGGGCUGCGGUCUCAGACCUGGGUGAAGCAGUGUCCUUGUCCCAGGGGCUGCUGCUGUUGCUGCUGCUGAGCAUGGGCGGGGCAUGGGCAUCCAGGGAGCCGCUUCGGCCAUGGUGCCACCCCAUCAAUGCCAUCCUGGCUGUCGAGAAGGAGGGCUGCCCAGUGUGCAUCACCGUCAACACCACCAUCUGUGCCGGCUACUGCCCCACCAUGGUGAGCUGCCUGGGGCCAGGGGCAGAUGCUGCCACCUCAGGGCCAGACCCACAGAGGCAGCGGGGGAGGAAGGGUGGUCUGCCUCUCUGGCCUGCGGUUGGGGAAUGGGGUGUGGGAAGGCAGGAACAGAGGGCUUCCUGGGCUCCUGAGUCCAGGACCUGUGGGGUCAGCUUGGGAGCUCAGCUGAGGCGCUGGCCUCAGGCACAUGCUCAUUCCCCCACUCACACGGCCUCCAGAUGCGCGUGCUGCAGGCGGUCCUGCCGCCCCUGCCUCAGGUGGUGUGCACCUACCGUGAUGUGCGCUUCGAGUCCAUCCGGCUCCCUGGCUGCCCGCGUGGUGUGGACCCCGUGGUCUCCUUCCCUGUGGCUCUCAGCUGUCGCUGUGGACCCUGCCGCCGCAGCACCUCUGACUGUGGGGGUCCCAAAGACCACCCCUUGACCUGUGACCACCCCCAACUCUCAGGCCUCCUCUUCCUCUAAAGACCCUCCCCGCAGCCUUCCAAGUCCAUCCCGACUCCUGGAGCCCUGACACCCCGAUCCUCCCACAAUAAAGGCUUCUCAAUCCGCA
This 2774-nucleotide long non-coding RNA is filed under the name Homo sapiens (human). RNAcentral describes it as "non-protein coding lnc-LHB-1:6". The record is from RNAcentral. Lineage: Eukaryota; Metazoa; Chordata; Mammalia; Primates; Hominidae.